This 834-nucleotide unclassified non-coding RNA is filed under the name Hevea brasiliensis (rubber tree). The record is from RNAcentral. Lineage: Eukaryota; Viridiplantae; Streptophyta; Magnoliopsida; Malpighiales; Euphorbiaceae.
GGCUCAAGUUUGUCCCAUAGUUUUCUUAAUUCCUUCAAAACUAGGGGUUUACUCUUAUUCUCAACAGUGGUGAAUCCAGUUUUAGUACAGUGGGAUUGAUGCUGCAUGAAAACAAUCAUCAUAAAUUAGAAUGGUAUUGCACAAAAUGACUACAGAACAGAAAUUCAGCAGGUAACAGAUAUUAUGGCCUUGAAGCACCUAACACUAACAGUGGUUGAAAUGUUCCAUCAAAACACAUAAAAUACAAGCACCUAGAGUUACAGUUUUUAACACCUAACCUGAUGCAAUUUUUAACUCUAUCUUCCUUAAGAGUUCGGAUGCUCAGUCAAAUAUCACUCCACCUCCCAAAAGGGAAAAAUGAUUGUUUGGGUAUUUUGAGACAAAAAGUUCAGACUGGCGAAAAGAUGUCAUCUGUUGAGCAUAACAUCAUUGACAAUGCCACAGAACAAUAGGUUACAAUGAUCAAAACCAGAAACCAACAUCAAAAUCAGGCAUUGAUGUUGCAAUAAUGUAGUAUCCGUAGGAUUUACAGUCAAAUUUCCUUGUGAAGAGUAUUCAAAAACUUUGCACAGCAUUAAACAAACUUCUAUCUCCAAAAUGAUUCAGGAACUCCAGUCAUCUUUCACACAUCAACGGUGCAAUGUUCAUAAUUUAAACAGCAAAAUGAACUUUAUAGAAUGAACAUAUUGGAUAAUAUUUAGUUUCAGGCUCUCAUAUGAUGUUUACCCAUUUAUGUGGCCCAAACUAAAUUAGAAACCAAACCAAUAUUUUCAGUUUUAUUUUGUUUAGCUGAUUUAUCCAGAACACCCCAUCCCCACCAACACCCCCCCCCCG